GGUGCUUGCACCUGGUGGCGAGUGGCGAACGGGUGAGUAAUACAUCGGAACAUGUCCUGUAGUGGGGGAUAGCCCGGCGAAAGCCGGAUUAAUACCGCAUACGAUCUACGGAUGAAAGCGGGGGACCUUCGGGCCUCGCGCUAUAGGGUUGGCCGAUGGCUGAUUAGCUAGUUGGUGGGGUAAAGGCCUACCAAGGCGACGAUCAGUAGCUGGUCUGAGAGGACGACCAGCCACACUGGGACUGAGACACGGCCCAGACUCCUACGGGAGGCAGCAGUGGGGAAUUUUGGACAAUGGGCGAAAGCCUGAUCCAGCAAUGCCGCGUGUGUGAAGAAGGCCUUCGGGUUGUAAAGCACUUUUGUCCGGAAAGAAAUCCUUGGUUCUAAUAUAGCCGGGGGAUGACGGUACCGGAAGAAUAAGCACCGGCUAACUACGUGCCAGCAGCCGCGGUAAUACGUAGGGUGCGAGCGUUAAUCGGAAUUACUGGGCGUAAAGCGUGCGCAGGCGGUUUGCUAAGACCGAUGUGAAAUCCCCGGGCUCAACCUGGGAACUGCAUUGGUGACUGGCAGGCUAGAGUAUGGCAGAGGGGGGUAGAAUUCCACGUAUAGCAGUGAAAUGCGUAGAGAUGUGGAGGAAUACCGAUGGCGAAGGCAGCCCCCUGGGCCAAUACCGACGCUCAUGCACGAAAGCGUGGGGAGCAAAC
This 703-nucleotide ribosomal RNA is filed under the name uncultured beta proteobacterium. RNAcentral's name for it is "bacterial SSU rRNA". It matches the Rfam family "Bacterial small subunit ribosomal RNA", at positions 75 to 773 of the family's 1533-position model. Lineage: Bacteria; Pseudomonadati; Pseudomonadota; Betaproteobacteria. The record is from RNAcentral.